Molecule: ribosomal RNA, 754 nt
Filed under: uncultured Pseudomonas sp.
Lineage: Bacteria; Pseudomonadati; Pseudomonadota; Gammaproteobacteria; Pseudomonadales; Pseudomonadaceae
Description: bacterial SSU rRNA
Rfam family: Bacterial small subunit ribosomal RNA
Source: RNAcentral
AUUGAAACGCUGGCGGCAGGCCUAACACAUGCAAGUCGAGCGGUAGAGAGAAGCUUGCUUCUCUUGAGAGCGGCGGACGGGUGAGUAAUGCCUAGGAAUCUGCCUGGUAGUGGGGGAUAACGUUCGGAAACGGACGCUAAUACCGCAUACGUCCUACGGGAGAAAGCAGGGGACCUUCGGGCCUUGCGCUAUCAGAUGAGCCUAGGUCGGAUUAGCUAGUUGGUGGGGUAAUGGCUCACCAAGGCGACGAUCCGUAACUGGUCUGAGAGGAUGAUCAGUCACACUGGAACUGAGACACGGUCCAGACUCCUACGGGAGGCAGCAGUGGGGAAUAUUGGACAAUGGGCGAAAGCCUGAUCCAGUCAUGCCGCGUGUGUGAAGAAGGUCUUCGGAUUGUAAAGCACUUUAAGUUGGGAGGAAGGGCAGUAAAUUAAUACUUUGCUGUUUUGACGUUACCGACAGAAUAAGCACCGGCUAACUCUGUGCCAGCAGCCGCGGUAAUACAGAGGGUGCAAGCGUUAAUCGGAAUUACUGGGCGUAAAGCGCGCGUAGGUGGUUCGUUAAGUUGGAUGUGAAAUCCCCGGGCUCAACCUGGGAACUGCAUUCAAAACUGACGAGCUAGAGUAUGGUAGAGGGUGGUGGAAUUUCCUGUGUAGCGGUGAAAUGCGUAGAUAUAGGAAGGAUCACCAGUGGCGAAGGCGACCACCUGGACUGAUACUGACACUGAGGUGCGAAAGCGUGGGGAGCAAACAGG